RNAcentral lists this ribosomal RNA (468 nucleotides) under uncultured bacterium. Its description in RNAcentral is "partial 16S ribosomal RNA". It matches the Rfam family "Bacterial small subunit ribosomal RNA", at positions 28 to 507 of the family's 1533-position model. The record is from RNAcentral.
GACGAACGCUGGCGGCGUGCUUAACACAUGCAAGUCGAACGGAAAGGCCCCGCUUUUGUGGGGUGCUCGAGUGGCGAACGGGUGAGUAACACGUGAGUAACCUGCCCUUGACUUUGGGAUAACUUCAGGAAACUGGGGCUAAUACCGGAUAGGAGCUCCUGCUGCAUGGUGGGGGUUGGAAAGUUUCGGCGGUUGGGGAUGGACUCGCGGCUUAUCAGCUUGUUGGUGGGGUAGUGGCUUACCAAGGCUUUGACGGGUAGCCGGCCUGAGAGGGUGACCGGCCACAUUGGGACUGAGAUACGGCCCAGACUCCUACGGGAGGCAGCAGUGGGGAAUAUUGCACAAUGGGCGGAAGCCUGAUGCAGCAACGCCGCGUGCGGGAUGACGGCCUUCGGGUUGUAAACCGCUUUCGCCUGUGACGAAGCGUGAGUGACGGUAAUGGGUGAAGAAGCACCGGCUAACUACGUG